Molecule: long non-coding RNA, 1050 nt
Filed under: Homo sapiens (human)
Lineage: Eukaryota; Metazoa; Chordata; Mammalia; Primates; Hominidae
Description: HSALNT0373666
Source: RNAcentral
AGCCAGUGUAGGAAUAAAUGUGAAUUUGUAUGUAUUGCUGAAAUGUGCAUUUUGCCAUCCAGUUGCAAUUCCUGUUUUUCUGAAAACAAACCUUAAAAAUCAAGAAAGGUGAAGGACAUUUACAUAUUUAAGCUGACGGCACCCCUAACAACAAGGCAGGAUUGUUUUGUUUAGGAAAGAAUUUAAAUGAAAGAACUCUCACUAUCAGUUCUUAAUGUGAUUUUGCAGACUUGGGUUUUUCAGAAACAAAACUUAAAUUCAACUAGAUAGUUUGGGCACACCAGGAAGCAGGUAAAAACUCUGGAAACUUGGGACCGGGGAGCAGCCACGGGGGAGAAGAAGCCCGGCAAAUAAAGGAAAGUGAAGAUGACGGAGACUCCGAGGGGCAGAGGAAGGCAAGGAAGUCCAGAAAUGGAGCAGUCAAGCCCCAGAGCGUCUGUCUGCAGGGGCUGAGGACAACUUUCAAGCAAGAGGGCCAGGAGCCCAAGGCUAGCAGAGUAUCAGAAGCGUCUGGCCACCCACAGGUCAGCAGCCAGCACUCUCUCUCCCUUGAUGACAGCAGCUGGCUCCAAAAAGGACCAUAGCUGUGGAAAGGAAACCUCUAAAUGUCUGAUAAAGGCACAAAUACAUGGCUCUUUCAAUGCAAAACCAACUAGUGCCUAAUAAAAGCAAACAGAUGCCUCUCCAGCCUGAAGAAAAUGACAAUUUCUUUGGAGGGCCUCAUCUUGAAUCCUUUCCUUUCCUUAAUGACCUAACGAGAGCCAUUCUGAUGAUUGUAAGAGCCAUGACUGACAUUCCACACCUGUGGCCUACCCAGAGUCCAAUUUGACAGUGAUCAUAAAUAAAAUCUUGUCGUACUAUUAUAGGAUGUUUGGCAAGGACAAGAAUUAAGGCACCUUUACAACUCCCUAAGGAAUCUGGUGAUAUUUCUAACAUGAUCUCACACAUUCUGUCCUGCCCGACCUUCCUUGUAUCACCUUCCUGAGUUAUAGCUUGUAUCCGUUACCCUCUCCUCCUUCCACAGCCUCUCCCCAAAAUAAAGAAUUGCUG